RNAcentral lists this ribosomal RNA (327 nucleotides) under uncultured eukaryote. RNAcentral's name for it is "partial 18S ribosomal RNA". It matches the Rfam family "Eukaryotic small subunit ribosomal RNA", at positions 1470 to 1796 of the family's 1831-position model. The record is from RNAcentral.
CCCUUAGAUGUUCUGGGCCGCACGCGCGCUACACUGAUUCAUGCAACAAGUUUUGUCCUUGGCUGAUAGGCCUGGGUAAUCUUUGAACGUGUAUCGUGAUGGGGAUAGAUGAUUGCAAUUAUUCAUCUUCAACGAGGAAUUCCUAGUAAACGCAAGUCAUCAGCUUGCAUUGAUUACGUCCCUGCCCUUUGUACACACCGCCCGUCGCACCUACCGAUUGAAUGGUCCGGUGAAAUCUUCGGAUCUGAGAGAUGUCUGAUUAAUUUCGGACGCCUUUUGGAAAAGUUGUUUAAACCUUACCAUUUAGAGGAAGGUGAAGUCGUAACA